UACGGGAGGCAGCAGUGGGGAAUAUUGCACAAUGGGCGCAAGCCUGAUGCAGCAAUGCCGCGUGUGUGAAGAAGGCCUGCGGGUUGUAAAGCACUUUUAUUAGGAAAGAAAAACCCGGAGCUAAUACCUCCGGCAUUGACGGUACCUAAAGAAUAAGCACCGGCUAACUCAGUGCCAGCAGCCGCGGUAAU
RNAcentral lists this ribosomal RNA (191 nucleotides) under uncultured bacterium. RNAcentral describes it as "partial 16S ribosomal RNA". It matches the Rfam family "Bacterial small subunit ribosomal RNA", at positions 340 to 524 of the family's 1533-position model. The record is from RNAcentral.